Molecule: ribosomal RNA, 430 nt
Filed under: uncultured bacterium
Lineage: Bacteria
Description: bacterial SSU rRNA
Rfam family: Bacterial small subunit ribosomal RNA
Source: RNAcentral
GGGCCCGCACAAGCGGUGGAGUAUGUGGUUUAAUUCGAUGCAACGCGAAGAACCUUACCAGGGUUUAAAUGCAGAACGACAGGGGUGGAAACACCCCCUUCUUCGGACGGACUGCAAGGUGCUGCAUGGUUGUCGUCAGCUCGUGCUGUGAAGUGUCGGGUUAAGUCCCAUAACGAGCGCAACCCCCCAUUUCUAGUUGCCAGCGGUUCGGCCGGGGACUCUAGAGAAACUGCCAGCGUAAGCUGUGAGGAAGGUGGGGAUGACGUCAAAUCAUCACGGCCCUUACAUCCUGGGCCACACACGUGCUACAAUGGUAGGGACAACAGGUUGCCAACCCGCGAGGGUGAGCCAAUCCCAAAACCCUAUCUCAGUUCGGAUCGGAGUCUGCAACUCGACUCCGUGAAGUUGGAAUCGCUAGUAAUCGCGGAUC